This 369-nucleotide RNase P RNA is filed under the name Flavipsychrobacter sp. RNAcentral describes it as "RNase P RNA component class A". It matches the Rfam family "Bacterial RNase P class A". From Rfam's summary of the family: Ribonuclease P (RNase P) is a ubiquitous endoribonuclease, found in archaea, bacteria and eukarya as well as chloroplasts and mitochondria. Its best characterised activity is the generation of mature 5'-ends of tRNAs by cleaving the 5'-leader elements of precursor-tRNAs. Cellular RNase Ps are ribonucleoproteins. The record is from RNAcentral. Lineage: Bacteria; Pseudomonadati; Bacteroidota; Chitinophagia; Chitinophagales; Chitinophagaceae.
ACUACAAACCGGGUUAUCGCGCGCAUGGCAGCAUGCGUGAGGAAAGUCCGGACAGCGGAGAACAGCGUACCGGCUAACUGCCGGGGCCCGAAAGGGUACAGAUAGUGCCACAGAAAAUAACCGUCCUGGCCAUAAACCGGGAUAAGGGUGAAAACGUAGGGUAAGAGCCUACGCUAUAGCGUGGUAACACGAUAUAGGGGUAAACCUUACGCGCUGAAAUGCCAAAUAGGUGUACGAUUGAGGGCUGUUCGCCCGAUGUGCAUGGGUUGGCAGCUAGAGGUGACGCGCAAGCGGCUCCCGAGAUAAAUGAUAGCCGCCCCGGACGACCAUCCGGGGACACAGGAUCCGGCUUACAGGUUUGUAGUUGUU